GCCGCCUUAGCUCAGUUGGUUAGAGCGCCUGAUUGUGGAUCAGGAGGUCCCCCGUUCAAGCCGGGGAGGUGGUACCA
This 77-nucleotide transfer RNA is filed under the name Roseobacter denitrificans. RNAcentral's name for it is "tRNA-His". It matches the Rfam family "tRNA". From Rfam's summary of the family: Transfer RNA (tRNA) molecules are approximately 80 nucleotides in length. Their secondary structure includes four short double-helical elements and three loops (D, anti-codon, and T loops). Further hydrogen bonds mediate the characteristic L-shaped molecular structure. tRNAs have two regions of fundamental functional importance: the anti-codon, which is responsible for specific mRNA codon recognition, and the 3' end, to which the tRNAs corresponding amino acid is attached (by aminoacyl-tRNA synthetases). tRNAs cope with the degeneracy of the genetic code in two manners: having more than one tRNA (with a specific anti-codon) for a particular amino acid; and 'wobble' base-pairing, i.e. permitting non-standard base-pairing at the 3rd anti-codon position. The record is from RNAcentral. Lineage: Bacteria; Pseudomonadati; Pseudomonadota; Alphaproteobacteria; Rhodobacterales; Roseobacteraceae. RNAcentral also lists the same sequence under 12 other names.